This 459-nucleotide long non-coding RNA is filed under the name Trifolium pratense (red clover). RNAcentral describes it as "long non-coding RNA (TPRA_LNC001037)". Lineage: Eukaryota; Viridiplantae; Streptophyta; Magnoliopsida; Fabales; Fabaceae. The record is from RNAcentral.
AGGAGACGUGCUGAAAAACUAGAAUCCAAUCUAUUUGGAUUGGGUUUAGACAUUUAUUUUUGUCUAACUAGGAGACAUGCUUGUUGAGACCUAGAAAAUUCAUCUCACUGUGAGACAAACAUGGCACAAAUAUGUAACCCGAGAUUAACCUUCCUUGAGCUGAACAUGGAAGCGGUGGAUAUUAUUGAAAGUUCAUUACAUCGAAAUCCAAUGAGAAGGUAUAUAAUGUAAAGGAAUGAAUAAAGUUGUAUAUUGCAUUACUUUUGAGAGUUUACAAGAGGUGUAUAUAUACACAAGUAUAGUAACCUAAUUGGAGUAACUUAUGGAGUAAAUUAAGGAACAAAUAUCUCCAAUAAUUAAGGAACAAAUAUCUCCAAUAAUUAAGGUGAUUGACUCUAUAGACUUUAUACAAAUCCUAAAAUAAUAAUGAUAAUAAUUAAAUACUAAUUAUGCUUGAUA